AGGACGAACGCUGGCGGCGUGCUUAACACAUGCAAGUCGAACGGAUCAGGUCAAGCUUGCUUGGUUUGGUUAGUGGCGAACGGGUGAGUAACACGUGAGUAACCUGCCCCAGACUCUGGGAUAACUUCGGGAAACCGUGGCUAAUACCGGAUAUGACAUCACCUCGCAUGGGGAUGGUGUGGAAAGUUUUUCGGUCUGGGAUGGGCUCGCGGCCUAUCAGCUUGUUGGUGAGGUAGUGGCUUACCAAGGCGACGACGGGUA
Molecule: ribosomal RNA, 261 nt
Filed under: uncultured bacterium
Lineage: Bacteria
Description: partial small subunit ribosomal RNA
Rfam family: Bacterial small subunit ribosomal RNA
Source: RNAcentral